GACGAACGCUGGCGGCGUGCUUAACACAUGCAAGUCGAGCGGUAAGGCCCCUUCGGGGGUACACGAGCGGCGAACGGGUGAGUAACACGUGAGUAAUCUGCCCUUCACUUCGGGAUAACCGCCGGAAACGGUGGCUAAUACCGGAUACGACGCGCUCCCGCAUGGGAUGUGCGUGGAAAGUUUUCUCGGUGAAGGAUGUGCUCGCGGCCUAUCAGCUUGUUGGUGAGGUAAUGGCNCACCAAGGCGACGACGGGUAGCCGGCCUGAGAGGGUGACCGGCCACACUGGGACUGAGACACGGCCCAGACUCCUACGGGAGGCAGCAGUGGGGAAUAUUGCACAAUGGGCGGAAGCCUGAUGCAGCAACGCCGCGUGAGGGACGACGGCCUCGGUUGUAA
Molecule: ribosomal RNA, 397 nt
Filed under: uncultured bacterium
Lineage: Bacteria
Description: bacterial SSU rRNA
Rfam family: Bacterial small subunit ribosomal RNA
Source: RNAcentral